This 414-nucleotide long non-coding RNA is filed under the name Mus caroli (Ryukyu mouse). RNAcentral describes it as "lncRNA (MGP_CAROLIEiJ_G0004663.1)". The stretch from base 106 to 245 matches the Rfam family "Rhabdomyosarcoma 2 associated transcript conserved region 8". The record is from RNAcentral. Lineage: Eukaryota; Metazoa; Chordata; Mammalia; Rodentia; Muridae.
GGGGAUCAGAGUCUACUUCUGCUUCAGGUGGAACGACAAGGCUGUAGAGCUGAGAUGAGAAACUGUAAACUUGCUCAGCCAAAGGAGGCUAAUAAUGAAGGGGCCAGGGAAGGAGGCCAAUGCUACAGGGUUAUCUCCUAACCUCAGAUGUUGGAUAAGUCCACGGAAACAGCAGCGCUUCUGGAUGGCUUCAGAAAGGCUGGAGUGAUUGUUUGGAAGAGAAAAACCCGCCUAUUCAUUCAAAGAUGUUAGUCUAUCUAGAACAACAAAUUUGGAUCUAAGCUGGACCUUUGAGAAAGAAAAGACUUCGAGGAAAAACACCUUUCCAUAUGUUUUAAUUACCUUCCACCUGAAUUGUUUAAUGCACACUAUCCAACUAUAUUCAUCUUUCUUGCUUCCUGUGUAUUUCUUCUU